This 271-nucleotide long non-coding RNA is filed under the name Vigna radiata. RNAcentral's name for it is "long non-coding RNA (VRAD_LNC003478)". The record is from RNAcentral. Lineage: Eukaryota; Viridiplantae; Streptophyta; Magnoliopsida; Fabales; Fabaceae.
GAGAAGUCAGACCAAAGUUUACUUUGCAAAGAUACAAUGCUUUGUCAUAGCCUUUAUCAAAACAUAGCUUGUACGAUGUGUCAAAAUAGAAGUCUUCAAGUGAAACAUUCCUAGAAUGUUCCUCAUAUCUCUCAACACCUUUUUCUUAGGUGCAAUGAUUCUGAUUAAGUCUUUCUGCUUCUUGUGAUAUGCACAAAUAUCAAGAGCAAGGUAUACAAGCAUCCAAACACUUUAUCGUACAUGAAUUAAAUAUUUUGUAUGUUGAUAAGCG